GAGGCAAAGGAUCUCAUUUGUAGGUUACUGUGCGAUGUUGAUCAUAGACUAGGUACUGGAGGAGCGCACCAAAUUAAAGCUCAUCCUUGGUUCAAGGACAUUUUAUGGGAUAAACUAUAUGAAAUGGAAGCAGCAUUUAAACCAGAAGUCAAUGGGGAGCUAGACACCCAGAACUUUAUGAAAUUUGAUGAAAUGGAUCCUCCACCAGCAAGAACUGGCUCUGGACCAUCAAGGAAGAUGCUAUUAACUCCCAAAGAUUUAAGUUUUGUUGGCUAUACAUACAAGAAUUUUGAUGCUGUCAAAGGGCUGCAUUCUUUUGAUCUCAAAGGAAGUAUGUCACCAAAACGGCCAUCCAUUGAUUCUAUAGGUGGUUCCGGGGCAGAUUAUCCUACAAAACGGCCUGGCGAGGAAACAGAGGUGCAAAUGCUUGCAUCAUCAGGUGAUCCCAUGCUACCAUAAUAUAACAAAACCACUAUCCUAUAAUGUGGAUGGUUACGCAUCCCAUUUUGAGUUGGGCAUUUCUCCAAAAUCCAUAACUUCUAUGGGUUGGCUGCCAUACAACUUGCAUGCAGAACCACGCUCAAGUGUACAGCAGUAACUGAGAAACUUCUUUAAAGCCCUCUGAGGUUAACCUUUAGGACAAGUGAGAUUUUUAUUUUAUAGCUGAAGAGGUAUUGUGUAUUAGAUAUAGAGCAAACCUGUGAAACUUGUGCCCUGGCUGCCCAGGUUGGCUGUGGUAAAACAUGCCUUCUNGUAAAACAUGCCUUCUCUAGCGGCAGUUUCUGGUCAAAUUUUAAUGGAAAGCAAACUACUAAGAAACUCAAUAGCUAUUUUAAUGAAUUAUUCCCCAUUAACGGUUUUGUGUGUA
Molecule: unclassified non-coding RNA, 868 nt
Filed under: Hevea brasiliensis (rubber tree)
Lineage: Eukaryota; Viridiplantae; Streptophyta; Magnoliopsida; Malpighiales; Euphorbiaceae
Source: RNAcentral